Macaca mulatta (Rhesus monkey) is the source of this 1712-nucleotide long non-coding RNA. Lineage: Eukaryota; Metazoa; Chordata; Mammalia; Primates; Cercopithecidae. The record is from Ensembl.
ACACUCCGCUUGGGGCUAACCAUGGCUGUGAAGACGGCACACAGACAUUCUGAGACGCGAACUGCAUCUGGCAUGAACUAACUGCGAACAUUCUUAGAGAAGAGCCACAUAGGGGCAUCUGGAUCUUUUUUGAAAAAAUGUAAAAUAGCAAUACAGAAACAUUUUAUUCAUUCAAAUCAAAUUACGAACAAUCCUGAGUUCUCUACAAGCUUCAGUUCAAAACAGACCUUUGAUGUCUUUCAAGUUUAAAGCACUAUUUUCAAUUGUGACUUUUAGAGUUGGAAGAGCCCUGGCAGUUUGAACUCAAGUAAAUGAUGCUUCUGGAGUUUCCAUAUCUGAGUUCUUCUGGCAAUGAUGGCCAGAAAGAAAGGAGAAGAAAGGAAACCACCAGUAGCUGUCUUUCUGCUGCCUGUCUGAGUACAGCCAAUAAACGGGAUUGAGUGGCAACUAACAAAAACUAACUUACUCUUGUCAAAAAGAUCUCCACAUCAGAGAACAAGACCUGGAAGCUGUAAGAAGCCUGGAUCCACACAAAUGGCUGCUUAGCAUUCAAAUACUCCCCUCCCAGAACACUUGAUGUGUUUCUUGAAUAUCUGACUUACUCUGCUGGCCAUCUACUGACAAAAGGAAUCUCUCCCCAGAUGAAAAUUUCUCUGGCUCUUUCUCUUUGUUUGUUUUUGGUGUUGUUUAAGAAACAGCAUUUCGAAUUCCCUCAGCCUUCCAAGAAAGCAGGCAGAUGUGUAAAUUAGAUUCCAAAGCACUAAGACUUCUACAUCUUAAUAAGCUGGGACGCAACCAUGCCCUGGAAGCAAAAGUGAAUAGAAUUCCCACAUUCACGAAGGGUCUACUGUUGAUUUUCUAAAAAGGAACAAAACGGUAACCAGAUGGUAGUUGACAGGGCAACUUUAAAGACAAGUAUUUGUUUUGAUCUCAUUCCUAAGGGAAAGAAAGUUAGAUAAUUAAUAGCAGGAAAGAACAGGAGAGAAAGGCAAGAGAAGAAGAAAUACCAAAGAUAAUGUAUAAAGGGAAAUGUGAGGAGCAAUGGAUGUUGGAAAAUAAAGGGAAAAUUUAGCCAGUUCUAGAAAAAUAGAAAAUGGGAUGAAAUGAAAUAUAACUGCACAUUUUUCAUGAAAUGGUUGCCUAGGAAACAACUAGGAGUGUUUCUCCCUGUACUGAAUAAUUGUUGAGAAACACACUGGACUUAGGGUCUCUUGGCUUUACUGGUAUCAACUGGGAAACUUAUGUGUCAGGUAUCGUAGUUAUGAGCACCAAUACUUUCUAUAUCAUGCUUCUAACAACAGAAGUAGCCAGUUUCAACAAUUUUGGAGGGUAAUAGCAGAGGAAUUGUAAGAUUGAAACCUACAAACACAGGCAGGGUGAGACUUGAAAAUCAGAUUAGUCUAGGAUGACGAUGACACAUUAGUAUGUGUAACACUAAGCAACAAACCGUGGAAAAGUCAAUUAGAAAAGCAGCUGAAGGCCCAUUUGGCAAUGUGAGAUCAUCUUUACAGCUUGCCCGGUAUCCCGUUGAAAACCAGUUUUCCAUAUAAAGAACUUGGUGCACUUAAAGUCAUAUAAUGUGAAGGCAAAAUUUCACAUUACAAAGCAGUUCUUCAUCUUCCGUUAGCGUACAGCCCCUAUGGAUCUUAUUAUCACUUUUUUGCUUUUAAUCUAAUAAAAACAAACAGCAUUAAAAAAUGCUUUACUGCUCC